CAGCCGCCGCGGUAAUACGUAGGUGGCAAGCGUUGUCCGGAAUUAUUGGGCGUAAAGCGCGCGCAGGCGGAUAGGUCAGUCUGUCUUAAAAGUUCGGGGCUUAACCCCGUGAUGAGAUGGAAACUGCCAAUCUAGAGUAUCGGAGAGGAAGGUGGAAUUCCUAGUGUAGCGGUGAAAUGCGUAGAUAUUAGGAAGAACACCAGUGGCGAAGGCGACUUUCUGGACGAAAACUGACGCUGAGGCGCGAAAGCCAGGGGAGCGAACGGGAUUAGAUACCCCCGUAGUCCCUGUCUCUUAUACA
Molecule: ribosomal RNA, 301 nt
Filed under: uncultured bacterium
Lineage: Bacteria
Description: partial 16S ribosomal RNA
Rfam family: Bacterial small subunit ribosomal RNA
Source: RNAcentral